Long non-coding RNA from Mastomys coucha (southern multimammate mouse), 849 nucleotides. RefSeq lists it as uncharacterized. The transcript is spliced from 2 exons. NCBI's taxonomy places the organism in Eukaryota, Metazoa, Chordata, Mammalia, Rodentia, Muridae. The record is from RefSeq and is a predicted model, not a curated record.
UAGAGACCCAGCAGUCCUCAAACUAUGGCCCCUGGACCAGCAGCAUCAGCAGCACCUGGGGCUCACCAGAAACUCGAGUUCCCGGACCCAGUCUUCCACAGGCUAUCAGUGUUUCAAUACGUGUUCCAGGGGAUUCUUAAUGCCUGCUUAAGCUCCAGAGUACCAUAUGUUCAACAAUUAGUAAACUCCCAUAUAUUUUUGGUAAACUCACUAAGAAAGUGCAAUGGAUAGUUUGGCCUAAGGGGAGCCUCCUGGAGGAGAACCAACCCUGAAGACACCUCUACUCAAUUUCUGUGGACAACAAACCUCUCCUCAGGAAUCUUCCAGACUGUAUACAGAAGGCAACAGGAAGUCGCAUCCAGGAAUGUGUUGAGUGUGCCUGUGCUUAAUUUCGUACAAGUGGAAGAACACUUAGCAUCCAGCAGGCCCCUCUUAAGCUCUGUUCCCAGCCGCGGCCCUGCUGUUUUAAGUGUGUGGACGUGGUGGCUGCGGUGUCUUGUCGCUUCUGCUAGGCUUUAUUUCCAGAAAGAGCUUUCAGGGUAGACUCUUAUCAGUGUAUUGCUGCUCUUCUGGAAUAGUGAAAUCGAAAAUUCAGCCUUAAAAUGUCGUAUAUUUUAGUACCUUCCACUAUACAUAAUAGAAUGCAUGGGGUUUCCUAACAAGAGAACCGAAUUUAUGACUUCUACAUUGCAAGUUUCCAGGGGGCGGAAGCUAUAAAAACAAAAAGCAAAGUUGUCUCCAGGCUUUGAAGAUUGUUUUCAACACACUGAAAGUCAUCUUGAUGAGGUUAUUAUGUGUCUUCUAGGAUGGUAAUUUUAUCUAUAAUAAACGAUUAGAAUGGGAUAAAAG